ACAACCUGCAACAACGGAUCUCUUGGCUCCGGCAUCGAUGGAGAACGCAGCGGGAUGCGAUACGUGAUGCGAAUUGCAGAUCUCCAGUGAGUCAUCGAAUCUUUGAAAGCACAUAGCGCCCGCCAGAUCUCUGGCGGGCAUGCCCGUCCGAGCGUCG
This 157-nucleotide ribosomal RNA is filed under the name Beauveria virella. RNAcentral's name for it is "5.8S ribosomal RNA". It matches the Rfam family "5.8S ribosomal RNA". Rfam says of the family: 5.8S ribosomal RNA (5.8S rRNA) is a component of the large subunit of the eukaryotic ribosome. The record is from RNAcentral. Lineage: Eukaryota; Fungi; Ascomycota; Sordariomycetes; Hypocreales; Cordycipitaceae.